AGCUCCAAUAGCGUAUAUUAAAGUUGUUGCAGUUAAAAAGCUCGUAGUUGGAUUGGUGUUGGUUAUGUUUUUUUGGGAAAUUCUCAAAGCGACGUUAACCAAUAUAUUUGGGAUUUGGUCUGAAAUGGCAUUAAGUUGUCGAUUUAGCUCCAGCCCAUCGUUUACUGUGAAAAAAUUAGAGUGUUUAAAGCAGGUUUUAUAACCGUUGAAUACAUUAGCAUGGAAUAAUAAUAUAUGACUCGUAUGGUCUAUUUUGUUGGUUUGCACGUAUGAGUAAUGAUUAAUAGGGACAGUUGGGGGUAUUCAUAUUUGAGCGUCAGAGGUGAAAUUCUUGGAUCGCUGAAAGAUGAACUAAGGCGAAAGCAUUUACCAAGGAUGUUUUCA
This 384-nucleotide ribosomal RNA is filed under the name uncultured eukaryote. RNAcentral's name for it is "SSU rRNA". It matches the Rfam family "Eukaryotic small subunit ribosomal RNA", at positions 587 to 972 of the family's 1831-position model. The record is from RNAcentral.